RNAcentral lists this ribosomal RNA (858 nucleotides) under uncultured eukaryote. RNAcentral describes it as "bacterial SSU rRNA". It matches the Rfam family "Eukaryotic small subunit ribosomal RNA", at positions 142 to 1043 of the family's 1831-position model. The record is from RNAcentral.
GAUAUCCGUGGAAAAUCUACAGUUAAUACGUAUCGGCUUCUUCGGAAGUGUUGCAUAUUACUGUGAACUCUCGGCGAGGGAAACCUCGUCUCCAAUGAACACUUGUAUGCACGCAUCGUAUAUUUCAUACGAGCGUCCAUCAAAGUUUCUGCCCCAUCAGGUUCCGACGGUAGGGUAUUGGCCUACCGUGCCGAUAACGGGUAACGGGGGAUUAGGGUUUGAUUCCGGAGAGGCAGCAUGAGAAUUGGCUACCACAUCUAAGGAAGGCAGCAGGCGCGUAAAUUACCGAUCCCUGACGCAGGGAGGUAGUAAACAGAAAUAAUGACGCAUGAUUCUAAUCGUGCGAUCGGAAUGAGUGGACUUUAAACAAGUUCACGAAAACAAUUGGAGGGCAAGUCUGGUGCCAGCAGCCGCGGUAAUACCAGCUCCAAUAGCGUAUAUUAUUGAUGUUGCAGUUAAAAUGUUCGUAGUCGACCCUUAUCCUCUAAGGCGGUGCUUCAGCUUGUCUGAUCACUGCCCUCAGCGGAGAUCGUGCAAACAGCAUCACACGUUUCGUGUGUUGCUUUUGCAUUCUACUUUGAGUGAAUCGGCGUGUUCCACGCAGGCAAGUGCCUUGAACGAUUUACCAUAGGAUAGAAAGAGUAUGAAAUCGCUUUCUUGUUAGUUCGGAAGCGUUUUCUACACUGAUAAGAACGGUUGAUGGCAUUCGUAUUCAACUGCCAGAGGUGAAAUUCUUUGAUUAGUUGAGGACGAACAACUGCGAAAGCAUCUGCCAAGGACGUUUCUUUUGAUCAAGAACGAAAGUUAGGUGAUCGAAGAUGAUUAGAUACCGUUGUAGUCCUAACCAUAAACUUUGCU